This 2707-nucleotide long non-coding RNA is filed under the name Nicotiana benthamiana. RNAcentral's name for it is "long non-coding RNA (NBEN_LNC014362)". The record is from RNAcentral. Lineage: Eukaryota; Viridiplantae; Streptophyta; Magnoliopsida; Solanales; Solanaceae.
AGCUCUAUCAUUUACGAUAUAUGUGUCAGAAUUAGGGACAAACCCCACAAGACCAAAAUUCAUCUACUUCAUCUCUCCUCUUCAGAGAACUUACCCAAAACCCUGGAGCACCGUCCUGACUUUCCACCGCCUCAGGCCGGCAGCGCCACUCGCAAAUCGCCUCAAAUUAACGCCAUGGAAUCCCUAUUGUUCCCUCUCCCCAAAUCUCUAACUCUUUUCCCUUGAAUCACCCUACUUCCUUUUGAAUCUUGGAUUGAAGUUGAAGCCUUAAAAGCCCAAAACCAAACCCAUACAUGUAAGGCUAUUUCCUUAAUUUUUCCUGGUUAUUCAAGGUCGAUUUUAUCACAAAAUAAUGUUGUUCGCCUGUUCAUGAUGGAGAACAAGCGAUUGAAAUUAUUAGGGGUUUAAAUCGAAAUAUCAGUCUUGAAUUCGAGUUUGGUCGGUGAGUUCCUUCGUUCGUCUUUGUGCUAUUUCAACAUUCAUUGAUCUUUAUGUCUUCUCUUUCUCUUUUGUUAAUUCGACUGAAACUCAACCAAAGUUUCUGGUCGAUUUGAGCGGUGAUCGCUUGUUCCCUUUAGUUUUCUUUUUUUCAAAUCCUAUAAGUUGGUUCUUUGAUUUUCAAUAAUCUGUUUAGUUUUAUUAAUGUUAUAUUUUAAACCUCUGAUUUCAUCUUCUUUUUUUAAUUUAGUUAAAUUAUUUUUUUAAUAACUUAUUUUAAUUCCGUAUUAAUGAGUCCAUUAGUUUAGGUUUUAGCGUUUCUUAAAAUCAUUUAGAUGUUUUCUUCCUGUUUGUCAUAAAUUGCCAAAUCCUAAAUCGGAUUCUAUCUCCACUGUUUGGCCCUUCCCCAUAAGGCCCCACCGUCGGGGCAUAAACGCCCUCUUGCUACCCAUAUGCGAGGCGCUGUCUUAGCCUUCCCUGACCAGGAUCGCUCGCGACCUGUAGCGUUCGUGAUCGGGCUCCUCAACUGUGUAUCUAUCGAAAGGCAGGGCGGCACAACCCCCAACCAAGGGAGUGGUUACGUCUCUGGUUUGAGUUAUUUUGGUGUUUAGGAAUUGAAGUCAUUUCAGACCUCACUCUAAGGGUUUGAUUUAGGUUAUUAGGUAAAAAUUCAGCCCAUGAUUGGUUUAACCAUUGGGUCAAUUUGACCCAUGACCCAUGAGUUCCUGGGGUAAAAUCAGGGAUCCUAAGGGUUAGAUUAGGAAUUUAGGCUAGGGAAUAUCUGUGUAACUAGCUGAAGGAAGCUUUCUAGAAGCUGCCUUUUGGACUAGAUUGAAAAUCUAAUUUUUACACAAAGGAUACUUAGGCAAAAAUGAAAAUUUCAAAAGGGUAAAACUGUAAAACUUAGCUCAUUUGCUACCCUCAAAGCUUUCCUACAAAGGCACCCUUUCUUCUUGAACAAAGGCUGAAAUUCAGAGAUAGGAAAACACAAAAAAUUUAAAAAGGUUGAGCAUUUUCUCUCAAGUAAAAAGCACUGAAAAUUGCUGGAAGUUUUACUUGGUUUUUUAGUUCUAAAUCCUUUGGUAAAUCAGAGUUUCGAGAGUCAAUAGAAUGGUUCAACCUAGGGUUUUAGGAAUUGGGUUGAGACUUUAAAGCUGGCUUUUUUUGCUGAUUUCAUUCUAUUUCAUUGCCUGGUUUUAAGUUGAUUUCUGCUGCUUUUUUCUGCUGAUACCUCACUUCUUUUGUUUCCUUUUACUUCCAGGUAUUUCUUCAAAACCAUCAAAUAGGAAGUGAAGUUAUUAAAUUGAUUUUGUGAAUGGAAACAUGAUGUUUAUUAAAAAUGCAAAUAAGCUUGUUUGUGUUUGAAGGUUAAGCUGCAUGUGUUCAUAAGGGUUUUUUAGUUUUUGCCUAUUGUAGUAUAGGCUCUGUUAGCAUUGAACAAAUGUUUCCUUCCAUUUGCUUAGUUUGAAUGAAUUGAGAUACUGUUCUCACGAGUGAGAUGUGAGUUCAGUGCAACUGUUAAGUCCAGUAGUUUGGAAUUUGUUAGAUCUAUGUUAGUCUGCUUGGAAAUUAGUUUUUUUUUUUUUUGACAAUUCUGGUUUGAAUCUGCUGGAGUUGAUAGCCUAAGUAUGGAUUAAGAAAUCUUCAACUGUAAUUUGCCUUAGUAAGUGUAUGCUGCUAUUUGGGAUGUCAUGUAUUGUAUUACUUUAUAAAAAAUAUUAAGGUUUUCAUUAUUCAAUUUAUAAUCAUUUUGAUAAGAAGAUGGUCUGAGUGUUUACCUUAAGGGUCAAGAUAUGUAUAGAAUUACUCUUCAUGUGGUUGUAAGCAUGUUUGAGCAGGGUUUGCUAUAAAGAAUCAGAAUUGUUUAUUGGAUAAUUCAAUAAGUUUUCUACUUGCUGCUGUAUGUAUGGAAAAGAGAUUUAAUUGAAGUUUGAAUCUUGCACAAAUGUCCAUUAAGUUAGCUGUGUCGAUUUAACUCAGAUGGCAUGUACAUGCAUUUGUUGAUAGUUAGUUGGUUUCUCCCUUUUUAAUUUUCAAAUAUUGUAUGUGUACCUGGAGACUCAAACUCGAGUCCUUCCUCUUUGGUCCUUAAUUCUCACAGAUAUAGGCCAUCCCUUUGGCCCUGGACCAUGAGGCAAUUUGAAAUGAAGUUGCAAGCCUCAUCGUUUUGGCCAUCCUAUUUCAAAUUUCCCUUUUUAAUUGCUGAAGAUGACAUGGGCCAUUUAACAACUAACAACAACAACAACUACCCAGUAUACUCCCACCAGGU